This is a long non-coding RNA of Eurytemora carolleeae, 442 nucleotides long. RefSeq lists it as uncharacterized. The transcript is spliced from 5 exons. Lineage: Eukaryota; Metazoa; Arthropoda; Copepoda; Calanoida; Temoridae. The record is from RefSeq and is a predicted model, not a curated record.
UCAUUUUUAUUCAAUUUUCAAGGAGAAGAGCUGCAGUAAACAUGUAUUUAAAAACCUUUCUCUUGCUUGCCUGUUUCUUCACUUCAUUUGUUGCUUCCCUGGUCAAUGAAGACUGGUAAAGAACACAAGGUACAUAUGUAGACAUCAGAUGUCCUGGUUAUGGCGUUUACUGUAAUACCGGGAAUGAGAACCAUAGUGGAAAUGAAACCAAUAAUUGGGAGGAUUGUGCUCUUCAAUGUGCAAAUUAUCGGACCUGUGUCUACUGGCAUUGGCAUACACUAGAAGAAAGUGCUACACCUGGUGCAACUCCUGAACAAUGCCACCUUAUGGGUUCCUGCCCUAGUCCCUCCAGGCAUGUUGAUGUGAUUUCUGGACUUUAUGACUGCUUUGAAAAUCAUUGUUCUAAAUAGUUAGUAAGUUAAAUAAAUGACAAAUAUUUAAU